CCUACGGGAGGCAGCAGUGGGGAAUAUUGGACAAUGGGGGCAACCCUGAUCCAGCCAUGCCGCGUGUGUGAAGAAGGCCCUCGGGUUGUAAAGCACUUUCAGUGAGGAAGAACGCCUGGUGGUUAAUACCCAUCAGGAAAGACAUCACUCACAGAAGAAGCACCGGCUAACUCCGUGCCAGCAGCCGCGGUAAUACGGAGGGGUGCGAGCGUUAAUCGGAAUUACUGGGCGUAAAGCGCGCGUAGGUGGCUUGAUAAGCCGGUUGUGAAAGCCCCGGGCUCAACCUGGGAACGGCAUCCGGAACUGUCAAGCUAGAGUGCAGGAGAGGAAGGUAGAAUUCCCGGUGUAGCGGUGAAAUGCGUAGAGAUCGGGAGGAAUACCAGUGGCGAAGGCGGCCUUCUGGACUGACACUGACACUGAGGUGCGAAAGCGUGGGUAGCAAACAGGAUUAGAUACCCUAGUAGUC
This 466-nucleotide ribosomal RNA is filed under the name Vreelandella stevensii. Its description in RNAcentral is "partial 16S ribosomal RNA". It matches the Rfam family "Bacterial small subunit ribosomal RNA", at positions 338 to 795 of the family's 1533-position model. Lineage: Bacteria; Pseudomonadati; Pseudomonadota; Gammaproteobacteria; Oceanospirillales; Halomonadaceae. The record is from RNAcentral.